RNAcentral lists this ribosomal RNA (424 nucleotides) under Leptodactylus fuscus group sp. ABGD cluster 22. RNAcentral's name for it is "partial large subunit ribosomal RNA". It matches the Rfam family "Bacterial large subunit ribosomal RNA", at positions 1835 to 2457 of the family's 2925-position model. The record is from RNAcentral. Lineage: Eukaryota; Metazoa; Chordata; Amphibia; Anura; Leptodactylidae.
CUUGAAACCUAUAAGAGGUCCAGCCUGCCCAGUGACUUUGUUCAACGGCCGCGGUAUCCUAACCGUGCGAAGGUAGCGUAAUCACUUGUUCUUUAAAUGAGGACUAGUAUGAAUGGCACCACGAAGGUUAUACUGUCUCCUUUUUCUAAUCAGUGAAACUAAUCUUCCCGUGAAGAAGCGGGAAUAAAAAUAUAAGACGAGAAGACCCUAUGGAGCUUUAAACAAAUAUACAAUUGCCUCCUCUAAUAAAAAUUCCAGAAAAGACACUUCUAUUUGGGCACUUUGAUAUAAAGUUUUAGGUUGGGGUGACCACGGAGUAAAAAACAACCUCCGCAGUGAAAGGGGCUUUCCCCCUAAACCGAGGGCUACAACCCUAAGAAUCAAUAAAUUGACACUAAUUGACCCAAUUAAUUGAUCAAUGAAC